Molecule: long non-coding RNA, 278 nt
Organism: Nerophis lumbriciformis (worm pipefish)
Lineage: Eukaryota; Metazoa; Chordata; Actinopteri; Syngnathiformes; Syngnathidae
Source: RefSeq, a predicted model, not a curated record
GUGAUUGGCUCCCUGGACCACAUGAUAACCUGGGUACAACCCUGGGCUGCGAGCUGUCGCCCAGCGUUUCUCUGGAGGGAAGCUGGGGAGGUUUUGGCGGCGUGGAAGACCAUCAGCUCGGAAACAACCGGGACUACAAGUGCGAGCGUAGACCCUAGUGGACCACGCGGAGGUGCGCUGACCGCCGACUGGACUCUUUCUGCGGACCUUCACAAGCGGAGCCGAGAUGGCGACCAUCGUGACCAAGUACGAGGAGUACGAGGAGUACGAGGAGGAGG